CAGUCGGGCAGGUACGGCAGCUCGUCCAGGAACUGCAAACAGCGCUCAAGCGAUUCCAGAACCGCUACUUUGAAGCGGUCGUACGGAAGGACGUAUGAGAGCCGGUACGCGGCGGCGGGGACGCUGCACAGCACCAGCAGCAGCACCGCGUUCCCCGCAUCCGCCAGCUCCGAGAAAGGCACUUUGCGGGAGGCAUGCGAGUCCAGGCAGGAGCGAAUCGCCCCAAGAAGCUCCUGAAAUUCCGCUCCUUCGGUCCACGGGGCCCCGGGGGCGUUUGCAGCGGGCCGGCCAAGCGACGUUGACGGCUCGCCCAUCAUCGAGGCAGGGCUUUUGGGCCCGUCCUUCGUUCCGCAGGCGCAGCGGCAUGCACGAGUAAGAUGGAGAGUAAUUCAUAUGGAAUAAAGGUCUUGCGGCGAUAGCGGCAGCCGCGGUGGCACCCCUCGCCUAGCUGCUGACUACGAAAGGUCGCCGGUGUUUUUGCUUACCUUUCCCAAUCGGUUCCAUGUAUUAGAGAAGAAUACUACGCUCGCGACAGCCCAGCCGACCACAAGCUGUAGAAAGGUGCAAGUGACGAGCCGAAUUUGGUUUAGAGGCACCAUUCCCAGGCGGCAAAGACCGCGUUACUAUGCGGAUAUCUUACAGCUAGAAGCUUGCCACCCAGCGCUUCGAGCGCCGUUGCGCUGCUUGGAGAGGUUGCCCACGCGAGAAGUGCGUCAUACUGUGACAACGCAAGUGCUAACGCAACAAGGCCGAUAAUAAUUAAUGCAAUCCCCGUUCCAGUUGCCAGGCCUUCCAUAUUUACUCACGUGCAAGGCUGUAAGCUAAGCCCCGAGACAACUAACAGCGCAAAUAAACCCUGACUCAUGGCAUCACAAUUCCACAGCACGAGCGUUAAGACCUGUACAAUCUUCUUGAUUUCUUGAGGUAAAGCAAAAAAACGCAAGAAGGUACGUAUGCUGUCGUACGCAGUAGU
This 973-nucleotide long non-coding RNA is filed under the name Volvox carteri. RNAcentral's name for it is "long non-coding RNA (VCAR_LNC002327)". Lineage: Eukaryota; Viridiplantae; Chlorophyta; Chlorophyceae; Chlamydomonadales; Volvocaceae. The record is from RNAcentral.